GAGUAGCUGAGAUUACAGGCAUGCGCGACCACGCCAGGCUAAUUUUGUAUUUUUAGUAGAGACGGGGUUUCUCCAUGUUGGUCAGGCUGGUCUCAAACUCCUGACCUCAGGUGAUUCACCCGCCUCGACCUCCCAAACUGCUGGGAUUACAGGCGUGAGCCACCACGCCUGGCCAGCUGUUGUUAUAACUGGAGUUCUAUGUGCUUGUGACCAUUCUUGGUUUCUCCGAAUAUCCUAGAACUUUGGUGGCGCCCUAUUAUACAGGUUGUUGAAGAAAUGUUACCAUGUGGAUUGAGUAGGAAACAAUUCUCUUUAUCUUGGCAAUAUUAUGGCAUGGCACUACUUAAAGUACAAAUUAAAAGAGGGGGAUGCUACAGAACUAGCUGACAGGCACUUUGAUAGAGGUGGAUUUCUCAGUUCUUAAAAUAGCUCUUUAUAAAGGAAGCCAGAGGCAUUGUGGAGGAGAAUUCUUACAUAACUCAUAGGGUUAGACCACAUCCGACCUUUUCUGUGUGGCUUCAUGGCUCUCUUGGUUGAGAAAGCAUUAGUUUCUCCUUCCAUUAGUUUCAACCUCUUGAUUUCUUGACCCCCCUACUAUAUUUUGUGCUGAGAACACAAGGGUAUUAACAACCCACAUUGUAGAGGAUCGCUCAGUAAUAAAGACUGGAGAAUAAAAUGCAGCAUGGGAAUAUUGGCAAUUACUCAGUUCUAAAUUUCUCUUGGAAAUGAGGGAAAGCAUACAGAAUAGAGCUGGAAUGAAUAGGAUAAUUUUUUUUUUUUUUGCUAAGUUGGUAGCCAGAAUAUAACAGCUCCGCACAACUGUAAAUGUCCACUCUUCAAUCCACAUGAAGAAAAGGGUAAAAAUAUGGUUGAACUCAACCACUAGUUGCCCAUUAGAACAGACUUUCCCAGUGUACUGCAUUUCAAUACUUUUUCUUUUAUCUCUUUUCAGAUCUUCCUCAGAAGAAUAGGCUUGUUGUUUUACAGUGUUAGUGAUCCAUUCCCUUUGACGAUCCCUAGGUGGAGAUGGGGCAUGAGGAUCCUCCAGGGGAAAAGCUCACUACCACUGGGCAACAACCCUAGGUCAGGAGGUUCUGUCAAGAUACUUUCCUGGUCCCAGAUAGGAAGAUAAAGUCUCAAAAACAACCACCACACGUCAAGCUCUUCAUUGUUCCUAUCUGCCAAAUCAUUAUACUUCCUACAAGCAGUGCAGAGAGCUGAGUCUUCAGCAGGUCCAAGAAAUUUGAACACACUGAAGGAAGUCAGCCUUCCCACCUGAAGAUCAACAUGCCUGGCACUCUAGCACUUGAGGAUAGCUGAAUGAAUGUGUCUUACCCAUUUCCAUGUUUCUCUUGCUAAUUUCUUUCGUGUGUGCCUUUGCCUCAUUUUCUCUUUUUGUUCACAAGAGUGGUCUGUGUCUUGUCUUAGACAUAUCUCUCAUUUUUCAUUUUGUUGCUAUUUCUCUUUGCUCUCCUAGAUGUGGCUCUUCUUUCACGCUUUAUUUCAUGUCUCCUUUUUGGGUCACAUGCUGUGUGCUUUUUGUCCUUUUCUUGUUCUGUCUACCUCUCCUUUCUCUGCCUACCUCUCUUUUCUCUUUGUGAACUGUGAUUAUUUGUUACCCCUUCCCCUUCUCGUUCGUUUUAAAUUUCACCUUUUUUCUGAGUCUGGCCUCCUUUCUGCUGUUUCUACUUUUUAUCUCACAUUUCUCAUUUCUGCAUUUCCUUUCUGCCUCUCUUGGGCUAUUCUCUCUCUCCUCCCCUGCGUGCCUCAGCAUCUCUUGCUGUUUGUGAUUUUCUAUUUCAGUAUUAAUCUCUGUUGGCUUGUAUUUGUUCUCUGCUUCUUCCCUUUCUACUCACCUUUGAGUAUUUCAGCCUCUUCAUGAAUCUAUCUCCCUCUCUUUGAUUUCAUGUAAUCUCUCCUUAAAUAUUUCUUUGCAUAUGUGGGCAAGUGUACGUGUGUGUGUGUCAUGUGUGGCAGAGGGGCUUCCUAACCCCUGCCUGAUAGGUGCAGAACGUCGGCUAUCAGAGCAAGCAUUGUGGAGCGGUUCCUUAUGCCAGGCUGCCAUGUGA
This 2069-nucleotide long non-coding RNA is filed under the name Homo sapiens (human). RNAcentral describes it as "X inactive specific transcript". The stretch from base 957 to 1082 matches the Rfam family "X-chromosome inactivation gene exon 4". Lineage: Eukaryota; Metazoa; Chordata; Mammalia; Primates; Hominidae. The record is from RNAcentral.